This 439-nucleotide ribosomal RNA is filed under the name uncultured bacterium. Its description in RNAcentral is "partial 16S ribosomal RNA". It matches the Rfam family "Bacterial small subunit ribosomal RNA", at positions 339 to 795 of the family's 1533-position model. The record is from RNAcentral.
CUACGGGGGGCUGCAGUGAGGAAUAUUGCAUAAUGGGGGGAACCCUGAUGCAGCAACGCCGCGUGGAGGAUGACGCAUUUCGGUGUGUAAACUCCUUUUAUAUGUCAAGAAAAUGACGGUAGCAUAUGAAUAAGCACCGGCUAACUCCGUGCCAGCAGCCGCGGUAAUACGGAGGGUGCAAGCGUUACCCGGAAUCACUGGGCGUAAAGGACGCGUAGGCGGGUUGGAAAGUCAGGUGUGAAAUCCUACAGCUUAACUGUAGAACUGCACUUGAAACUUCUAAUCUAGAGUAUGGGAGGGGGAGAUGGAAUUAGUGGUGUAGGGGUAAAAUCCGUAGAUAUCACUAGGAAUACCUAAAGCGAAGGCGAUCUCCUGGAACAUUACUGACGCUAAGGCGUGAAAGCGUGGGGAGCAAACAGGAUUAGAUACCCCGGUAGUC